This is a long non-coding RNA of Plutella xylostella (diamondback moth), 554 nucleotides long. RefSeq lists it as uncharacterized. The record is from RefSeq and is a predicted model, not a curated record. Lineage: Eukaryota; Metazoa; Arthropoda; Insecta; Lepidoptera; Plutellidae.
GUAUGUACGUACAUAUACCGGUGCGGCCCCGUAGGUCCCACAGUCCACUUCCAGCCACAAUCAUGAGGGUCUUUCUGCUCGUCUUCGUCGUUAUGAUGCUAUUCGCUGCUGCGUUCGGUGACGGUGAAGCCGAGCUCGCAGGUCCCGAUAAUAUCCAAGAUCCUGCCGCCCCCGCUGGAACCUCGGCCUCAGACUCACCUGGUGAGGCCUCAGACUCUGCUGUUAAAACCUCAGACACAGCUGCUGGUGACGCCGGUGCCGCCACUGACCCCACUCUCGCCGAGUCUGACGCUGACCCUGCCAAGCCUAGUAGCGGUUUAUACUCCGAUAAGAUAAAUGAGCGAGUUGAAGCUGAGAAAUACAGUCAGACGGGCUAACAUCUGCCACAGUCUCCGCCGCCCCGGUUGAUGCAUCGACGUGGAAUCUAACCCUCAAACCACUUCCUCCACCCUUUGCAUAAAUAAAAGAGGUUUUUGUCAUUAGUAAGAAUAAGCAACAUAAUUGUCUUCUUUUAUAAAAAUAUUAAAUUUGUGUUGCAAUAUAACUACUACCUA